This 443-nucleotide ribosomal RNA is filed under the name uncultured bacterium. RNAcentral describes it as "partial 16S ribosomal RNA". It matches the Rfam family "Bacterial small subunit ribosomal RNA", at positions 338 to 795 of the family's 1533-position model. The record is from RNAcentral.
CCUACGGGGUGCAGCAGUGGGGAAUAUUGGGCAAUGGGCGCAAGCCUGACCCAGCAACGCCGCGUGAAGGAAGAAGGCCCUAGGGUUGUAAACUUCUUUUGUCAGGGAAGAAGAAAGUGACGGUACCGGACGAAUAAGCCACGGCUAACUACGUGCCAGCAGCCGCGCUAAUACGUAGGUGGCAAGCGUUAUCCGGAUUUACUGGGUGUAAGGGAGGUGUAGGGGGGAUUGUAAUGCAGAUGUGAAGUUCCAGUGCUCAACCCUGGACCUGCAUUUGAAACUGUAGUUCUUGAGUGUUGGAGAGGCAGGCGGAAUUACGUGUGUAGCGGUGAAAUGCGUAGGGAUACGGAGGAACACCAGUGGCGAAGGCGGCCUGCUGGACAUUAACUGACGCUGAGGCGCGAAAGCGUGGGGAGCAAACAGGAUUAGAUACCCGAGUAGUC